AUUGAACGCUGGCGGCAUGCUUUACACAUGCAAGUCGAACGGCAGCGGGGAGGAGCUUGCUUCUCUGCCGGCGAGUGGCGCACGGGUGAGUAAUACAUCGGAACGUGUCGAGAAGAGGGGGAUAACCACCCGAAAGGGUGGCUAAUACCGCAUAAAUUCUGAGGAAGAAAGCUGGGGACCUAGGAAUAGGCCUAGCGCUUUUUGAGCGGCCGAUGUCGGAUUAGCUAGUUGGUGAGGUAAAGGCUCACCAAGGCGAAGAUCUGUAGCGGGUCUGAGAGGAUGAUCCGCCACACUGGGACUGAGACACGGCCCAGACUCCUACGGGAGGCAGCAGUGGGGAAUUUUGGACAAAGGGGGCAACCCUGAUCCAGCCAUGCCGCGUGUAUGAAGAAGGCCUUAGGGUUGUAAAGUACUUUUGUUAGGGAAGAAAAGUCAGCUGUGAAUAAUGGCUGAUACUGACGGUACCUAAAGAAUAAGCACCGGCUAACUACGUG
Molecule: ribosomal RNA, 494 nt
Filed under: uncultured bacterium
Lineage: Bacteria
Description: partial 16S ribosomal RNA
Rfam family: Bacterial small subunit ribosomal RNA
Source: RNAcentral